This 420-nucleotide ribosomal RNA is filed under the name Triticum aestivum (bread wheat). Its description in RNAcentral is "partial small subunit ribosomal RNA". The record is from RNAcentral. Lineage: Eukaryota; Viridiplantae; Streptophyta; Magnoliopsida; Poales; Poaceae.
AUGGGCCCAAGACGAGGAUAUCACGGCAGGAAGUGCAAGGUUAACUGGCGGACAGUCACGUCACCGGUCGACCGCGGCGGUCUCGGGAUCCCGGACAUCGAGCGAUUCACGCACGCACUCCAGCUCCGCUGGCUCUGGCUGGCAUGGACUGACCCAACACGGUCGUGGGUGGGCACAUGAUUACCAUGCGAUGACAAAGACCGGGCUCUCUUCGCCUCUGCCACAAAGGUGGAGGUGGGCGACGGGAACCGGGCCCUCUUCUGGCACUGCCCAUGGCUGGGCGAGCUGCCGCUCUACCGGGCCUUUCCGCUGCUGUUCGGCCGCUCCGUCAGGAAAAACCGCACGGCGGCGGAGGCCCUGCAUGGAGACAGAUGGGUGCUCGAUCUAAGGCACGGCGACACUAUGGAAAUCACCCCCUAG